Molecule: ribosomal RNA, 440 nt
Filed under: uncultured bacterium
Lineage: Bacteria
Description: partial 16S ribosomal RNA
Rfam family: Bacterial small subunit ribosomal RNA
Source: RNAcentral
CCUACGGGUGGCAGCAGUAGGGAAUAUUGCGCAAUGGGCGAAACCCUGACGCAGCAACGCCGCGUGGAGGAUGAAGGUUUUCGGAUUGUAAACUUCUUUUGUCAGGGAAGAUAAUGACGGUAUCUAAUGAGUAAUCACCGGCUAAUUCCGUGCCAGCAGCCGCGGUAAUACGGCGGGUGCAAGCGUUACUCGGAAUCACUGGGCGUAAAGAGCGCGUAGGCGGGAUGGCAAGUCAGAUGUGAAAACCUAGGGCUCAACCAUGGAACUGCAUUUGAAACUGUUAUUCUAGAGUGUGGGAGAGGUAAGUGGAAUUCUGGGUGUAGGGGUAAAAUCCGUAGAUAUAAGGAGGAAUACUAGUUGCGAAGGCGACCUGCUAGAACAUAACUGACGCUGAGGCGCGAAAGCGUGGGGAGCAAACAGGAUUAGAUACCCCAGUAGUC